This 490-nucleotide ribosomal RNA is filed under the name uncultured bacterium. RNAcentral's name for it is "bacterial SSU rRNA". It matches the Rfam family "Bacterial small subunit ribosomal RNA", at positions 335 to 817 of the family's 1533-position model. The record is from RNAcentral.
ACUCCUACGGGAGGCAGCAGUGGGGAAUAUUGGACAAUGGGCGCAAGCCUGAUCCAGCCAUGCCGCGUGUGUGAAGAAGGCCUUCGGGUUGUAAAGCACUUUUGUCCGGAAAGAAAAGCUUCGGGUUAAUACCCCGGGGUCCUGACGGUACCGGAAGAAUAAGCACCGGCUAACUUCGUGCCAGCAGCCGCGGUAAUACGAAGGGUGCAAGCGUUACUCGGAAUUACUGGGCGUAAAGCGUGCGUAGGUGGUUUGUUAAGUCUGAUGUGAAAGCCCUGGGCUCAACCUGGGAAUGGCAUUGGAUACUGGCGAGCUAGAGUGCGGUAGAGGGUAGUGGAAUUCCCGGUGUAGCAGUGAAAUGCGUAGAGAUCGGGAGGAACAUCUGUGGCGAAGGCGACUACCUGGACCAGCACUGACACUGAGGCACGAAAGCGUGGGGAGCAAACAGGAUUAGAUACCCUGGUAGUCCACGCCCUAAACGAUGCGAACU